RNAcentral lists this unclassified non-coding RNA (327 nucleotides) under soil metagenome. RNAcentral's name for it is "partial contains 5.8S ribosomal RNA, internal transcribed spacer 2, and large subunit ribosomal RNA". The stretch from base 1 to 120 matches the Rfam family "5.8S ribosomal RNA", at positions 35 to 154 of the family's 154-position model. The record is from RNAcentral.
GAUGAAGAACGUAGCGAAAUGCGAUAAGUAAUGUGAAUUGCAGAAUUCAGUGAAUCAUCGAAUCUUUGAACGCUCAUUGCGCCCCUUGGUAUUCCGAGGGGCAUGCCUGUUCGAGCGUCAUUUUGACCACUCCCGCUUGCGGGGUCUUGGGCCUUCGCCUCUGGGCGGGCCUUAAAAUCAGUGGCGGUGCCGUCCGGCUCUAAGCGUAGUAAAUCUCCUCGCUAUAGGGUUCCGGAGGGAUGCUGGCCAACAACCCCCAACUUUUAAGGUUGACCUCGGAUCAGGUAGGGAUACCCGCUGAACUUAAGCAUAUCAAUAAGCGGAGGA